AAAGUCGUAACAAGGUUUCCGUAGGUGAACCUGCGGAAGGAUCAUUAACACGUAUCCAACGUUAAACCCCCCUGUGAACCUGUUCAAUCGCGCUCUCCUCGACAAAGAUGGAACAGCAAUCCUGGUAAAUCAGUGGGAGAAAAUUGAUUUUGAUUCAGGACCUCUGUCUACUGUCGGGGAUCGAACGCUGGACGCACGAACCUACCCUGAAUUGAGCUUAGGGAACUCAUUUGCUUCACAAUCAUCGGUCGAUCACCGGCCAUUUGACCAGGACGUGGCCCCUAAAAAGGUCCCUUUAAAUAUUGACUACUAGUUAUUACCACGCCUAGACCCAACGCAAGUGCACCGGGAGGCUAGGUCAAAACGAACAACUGUUAACAAUGGAUAUCUCGGUUCUC
RNAcentral lists this unclassified non-coding RNA (398 nucleotides) under Cercozoa sp. Its description in RNAcentral is "partial contains small subunit ribosomal RNA and internal transcribed spacer 1". The stretch from base 1 to 47 matches the Rfam family "Eukaryotic small subunit ribosomal RNA", at positions 1785 to 1831 of the family's 1831-position model. The record is from RNAcentral. Lineage: Eukaryota; Cercozoa.